CCGGAGGCCCUGAUCAACAAGCUGUCAACUAGAUGCUGUGCGCUCUAGGGGCUCGGUAGUGUGGAAGGUGCCAACCUCAUGCCCACCACAGGACCUUUUCCUUGGUUGCUCCUGUCUGUGCUGCCCCUCCAUGGACCUGCUGUGCGAACCCUGAGCCAGCCCCUCAUCCUGUCGCCCUGUCCUGUCUCACAUCACCUAUCACCGUGCCUCCAUCUGCUCGCCUAUGGCCUCCCCCGUUGCCGUACCCUGAGUCAGAGCCAUAUCUACCCUGGAAUGAAAAACAGAGCCUGAGACUUCUGGGGUUCCUGCUGCCACACCCCACCCCUGGAGGGGGCUGAGCUCUGGGAAGCCAGCCAGAUGAUGCUGUUCCUUCAGCAAGUUCUGGCUAGGACCACUGAAAACCUGUAUGGUUGUAUUAAACAAGGUACAGCUCUAGGGAAAACUCUCCGACUGGUGCCCGGACAGCCAUAAGACUGCUCACCACCCUAUGGCAUGGAAGAGCCAAAACUCAAGACAUCCCAAAUGUCCACUGGCAGAACGGACUAAGGCUUGGGCGUGACUCUUGGAGGGGAGUUAAAGAGCCAUGGAAAGGAACUGGAGCAAUGUGGGCUGGUGCAAACAGCUCACAGAAAAUGCCCAGCCAAGCCCCAAGCCAACUGCAGGGUACCACCCGGAGGAAGCACCACACCACCUAUUUCUCUGCAAUGAUCCCAAGCAUGGUGAAGGCAGAAGGCAGGGGCUAACACUGCCCCAGCACUGCUUGUUUUAUUUUAAGCAGAAUGAUGUGCACCUGAUUAUUUUUCUGGCCAUUCCUUAGAUUUCUUUGAUGUCUGAAACACCUUAUAACUUUUUUCCCCGCUGCAGUGCUGGGGAGCUGAACCCAGGACCUCAGCAUGCUAUAUCCCUAGGCCUUUGUAAACUUUAAUGAUGCUUCUGGGCCUAGGGCUCCAGAAACAACACCAUGGCAGGCUGGCCAAGGCACCUUUUUCCUAGUCCUGCUUCUCUGCAGCACUCCUUGUGGGCUUCCCACCCAGGAACCCCCAACACUCCAGUGCAGAGAAGGCAGAGGGGCCUGCUGUGGCCUUCUACCCCUGCACUGGGCAAUAUAGGGACAGACAGAACACUUGGGUGCCCUUGCAUGCGUGGGGAGAGAGCCAGAGGGGAUGGAGGCUUCCCAGAGAGCCUGCAACUGUGAGAUUAAAACAAAGAAGCCAAGGGAAGAGAAUCCAUGACCACAUGACCCCGAAGUGUCACACAGGCUACCCAGCUGUCAGAGGAUCCACAGCAACUCAGAUUCAAGGGUAACAUGCAGAUGUGACUAAGAAGCAAGAAGCAAAAG
Molecule: long non-coding RNA, 1339 nt
Organism: Marmota flaviventris (yellow-bellied marmot)
Lineage: Eukaryota; Metazoa; Chordata; Mammalia; Rodentia; Sciuridae
Source: RefSeq, a predicted model, not a curated record